UACGUAGGGGGCAAGCGUUGUCCGGAAUCAUUGGGCGUAAAGAGCGUGUAGGCGGCUCGGUAAGUCUGCUGUGAAAGUCCAGGGCUCAACCCUGGAAUGCCGGUGGAAACUGUCGGGCUCGAGUCCGGAAGAGGCGAGUGGAAUUCCUGGUGUAGCGGUGAAAUGCGCAGAUAUCAGGAGGAACACCAAUGGCGAAGGCAGCUCGCUGGGACGGUACUGACGCUGAGACGCGAAAGCGUGGGGAGCAAACAGG
Molecule: ribosomal RNA, 253 nt
Filed under: uncultured bacterium
Lineage: Bacteria
Description: partial 16S ribosomal RNA
Rfam family: Bacterial small subunit ribosomal RNA
Source: RNAcentral